RNAcentral lists this ribosomal RNA (714 nucleotides) under Eleutherodactylus auriculatus. RNAcentral's name for it is "partial 12S ribosomal RNA". The stretch from base 1 to 537 matches the Rfam family "Bacterial small subunit ribosomal RNA", at positions 779 to 1533 of the family's 1533-position model. The record is from RNAcentral. Lineage: Eukaryota; Metazoa; Chordata; Amphibia; Anura; Eleutherodactylidae.
UAGAUACCCCACUAUACCUCGCCGUAAACUUUAACUUACACCCCCUAAAUCGCCAGGGAACUACGAGCAAAGCUUAAAACCCAAAGGACUUGACGGUGCCCCAUAUCCCCCUAGAGGAGCCUGUCCUAUAACCGAUGAUCCUCGUUUAACCUCACCACUUCUAGCUAAUCAGCUUGUAUACUUCCGUCGCCAGCUUACCACGUGAGCGAAACUCAGUUAGCUCAACUGGCUUACUUGCUUAUCAACACCGCCAAUACGUCAGGUCGAAGUGCAGCAAAUGGGGUGGAAAGAGAUUGGCUACACUUUUUAAAUUAAAAAACAACGAAAGGCAGAUAAUUUGAAACUCUGCCAGAAGGUGGAUUUAGUAGUAAAAAGAAUUCAUUAUAUUCCUUUUAAAUAGGCACUGGAGCGUGUACACACCGCCCGUCACCCUCUUCGACAAAUCAUUAUAGUAUUUAACAACUUACAUACCACCAGAGAAGAGGUAAGUCGUAACAUGGUAAGUAUACCGGAAGGUGUACUUGGAAACAAAACAGUAGCUUAAACAAAGCAUCUUGCUUACACCAAGAACAUGUCCAUAAUAGGACCAUUUUGAAUUAGCCAAAAACCUAGCCCAAAUUUACCCAUUUCAUUAAUUUUAUUAAACUAAAAUAUUCUACUCAAUCUAGUAAAGAUGAUUAAAAAAUUUAUUUGAGCUAUAAAAACGUACCGCAG